GGUGGCUCAGUGCUAGAGCGCUUGCCUUGCAUGCAUGAAGCCCUGGGUUCAAUUCCUCAGCACCA
This 65-nucleotide transfer RNA is filed under the name Dipodomys ordii (Ord's kangaroo rat). It matches the Rfam family "tRNA". Rfam says of the family: Transfer RNA (tRNA) molecules are approximately 80 nucleotides in length. Their secondary structure includes four short double-helical elements and three loops (D, anti-codon, and T loops). Further hydrogen bonds mediate the characteristic L-shaped molecular structure. tRNAs have two regions of fundamental functional importance: the anti-codon, which is responsible for specific mRNA codon recognition, and the 3' end, to which the tRNAs corresponding amino acid is attached (by aminoacyl-tRNA synthetases). tRNAs cope with the degeneracy of the genetic code in two manners: having more than one tRNA (with a specific anti-codon) for a particular amino acid; and 'wobble' base-pairing, i.e. permitting non-standard base-pairing at the 3rd anti-codon position. The record is from Rfam by way of RNAcentral. Lineage: Eukaryota; Metazoa; Chordata; Mammalia; Rodentia; Heteromyidae.